Molecule: ribosomal RNA, 517 nt
Filed under: uncultured bacterium
Lineage: Bacteria
Description: bacterial SSU rRNA
Rfam family: Bacterial small subunit ribosomal RNA
Source: RNAcentral
ACGAACGCUGGCGGCGUGCCUAAUACAUGCAAGUCGAACGGUCUUUCUAUGGAAGCUUGCUUCCACUGAGAAGAUGGUGGCGAACGGGUGAGUAACACGUGGGUAACCUGCCCAUAAGAGGGGGAUAACAUCCGGAAACGGGUGCUAAUACCGCAUAGUUUUCUUGAUUGCAUGAUUGAGAAAGGAAAGACGGCCUUUGUGCUGUCGCUUAUGGAUGGACCCGCGGCGUAUUAGUUAGUUGGUGAGGUAACGGCUCACCAAGACGAUGAUACGUAGCCGACCUGAGAGGGUGAUCGGCCACAUUGGGACUGAGACACGGCCCAAACUCCUACGGGAGGCAGCAGUAGGGAAUCUUCCGCAAUGGACGAAAGUCUGACGGAGCAACGCCGCGUGAGUGAAGAAAAGGUUUUCGGAUCGUAAAACUCUGUUGUCAGAGAAGAACAAGUUGGAGAGUAACUGCUCCAGCCUUGACGGUAUCUGACCAGAAAGCCACGGCUAACUACGUGCCAGCCGCAGC